Molecule: long non-coding RNA, 268 nt
Filed under: Populus tremula
Lineage: Eukaryota; Viridiplantae; Streptophyta; Magnoliopsida; Malpighiales; Salicaceae
Description: long non-coding RNA (PTRE_LNC003005)
Source: RNAcentral
AGCUCCUUCUCACGGUGGCGCGUGCACCCACGCGCCGCCAGUGGCGGUGGCGCGUGGGAAGACGCGCCGCCAGUGAUUUCUGCCCCAGCAGCCUUCCCGAGCACUGUUCCUGCGGUUCUAAAUGGACUUCCCUGCACUUCUUGGACUAUUUAGGGACUGUUUUGUAUUUUUAGAUUUGUUUAAUGUAAUUUGUUUAGUUUUGAUUUUUUUUGUAAUUUAUAUUUUUGUAAAUAUGGAUGUAAAAGAAAAGAAAAGAAAAAAGAAAAAA